GGACUACACGGGUAUCUAAUCCUGUUUGCUCCCCACGCUCUCGCGCCUCAGUGUCAGUAUCUGUCCAGGUAGCCGCCUUCGCCACUGGUGUUCCUUCCGAUCUCUACGCAUUUCACCGCUACACCGGAAAUUCCACUACCCUCUACAGUACUCUAGCUCAUCAGUCAUCGAUGCAGUUCCUAGGUUAAGCCCAGGGAUUUCACAUCAAUCUUAACAAACCACCUACGCGCCCUUUACGCCCAGUAAUUCCGAUUAACGCUCGCACCCUCUGUAUUACCGCGGCUGCUGGCAC
This 292-nucleotide ribosomal RNA is filed under the name uncultured bacterium. RNAcentral describes it as "partial 16S ribosomal RNA". The record is from RNAcentral.